CUAGUUGGUGAGGUAACGGCUCACCAAGGCGAUGACGGGUAGCUGGUCUGAGAGGAUGGCCAGCCACAUUGGGACUGAGAAACGGCCCAGACUCCUACGGGAGGCAGCAGUGGGGAAUCUUGCGCAAUGGUCGAGAGACUGACGCAGCGACGCCGCGUGCGGGAGGACGCCCUUCGGGGUGUAAACCGCUGUUACCCGGGACGAAUCCAGGAUUCAUUCCUGUUGACGGUACCGGGGGAGGAAGCACCGGCUAACUCUGUGCCAGCAGCCGCGGUAAUACAGAGGGUGCGAGCGUUGUCCGGAAUCACUGGGCGUAAAGGGCGCGUAGGCGGGCGAUCAAGCGUGCGGUGAAAGCUCGGGGCUCAACUCCGAGUCGGUCGUGCGAACUGGUUGUCUGGAGUCCGGUAGAGGCUGAUGGAAUUCCGGGUGUAGCGGUGGAAUGCGUAGAGAUCCGGAAGAACACCGGUGGCGAAGGCGGUCAGCUGGGCCGGUACUGACGCUGAUGCGCGACAGCGUGGGGAGCAAACAGGAUUGGAUACCCUGGUAGUCCACGCCGUAAACGAUGGGCACUAGAUCCUUGGGGGAGCGACCCCGUGAGGGUCGGCGCUAACGCAUUAAGUGCCCCGCCUGGGGAGUACGGCCGCAAGGCUGAAACUCAAAGGAAUUGACG
RNAcentral lists this ribosomal RNA (670 nucleotides) under uncultured bacterium. RNAcentral's name for it is "SSU rRNA". It matches the Rfam family "Bacterial small subunit ribosomal RNA", at positions 245 to 915 of the family's 1533-position model. The record is from RNAcentral.